RNAcentral lists this long non-coding RNA (1296 nucleotides) under Salmo salar (Atlantic salmon). Its description in RNAcentral is "lncRNA (ENSSSAG00000098160.1)". The record is from RNAcentral. Lineage: Eukaryota; Metazoa; Chordata; Actinopteri; Salmoniformes; Salmonidae.
GUCACAUACUGCUGGUAUUGAUGGAUGGUAUAGGUCUCACUCUGCUGGUAUUGAUGGAUGGUAUAGGUCUCACACUCUGCUGGUAUUGAUGGAUGGUAUAGGUCUCACUCUGCUGGUAUUGAUGGAUGGUAUAGGUCUCACUCUGCUGGUAUUGAUGGCUGGUAUAGGUCUCACUCUGCUGGUAUUGAUGGAUGGUAUAGGUCUCACUCUGCUGGUAUUGAUGGCUGGUAUAGGUCUCACUCUGCUGGUAUUGAUGACUGGUAUAGGUCUCACUCUGCUGGUAUUGAUGGAUGGUAUAGGUCUCACACUCUGCUGGUAUUGAUGGAUGGUAUAGGUCUCACACUGCUGGUAUUGAUGGAUGGUAUAGGUCUCACACUCUGCUGGUAUUGAUGGAUGGUAUAGGUCUCACUCUGCUGGUAUUGAUGGCUGGUAUAGGUCUCACACUCUGCUGGUAUUGAUGGAUGGUAUAGGUCUCACUCUCUGCUGGUAUUGAUGGAUGGUAUAGGUCUCACUCUCUGCUGGUAUUGAUGGAUGGUAUAGGUCUCACUCUGAUGGUAAUGAUGGCUGGUAUAGGUCUCACACUGCUGGUAAUGAUGGCAGGUAUAGGUCUCACUCUGCUGGUAAUGAUGGCUGGUAUAGGUCUCACACUCUGCUGGUAUUGAUGGAUGGUAUAGGUCUCACUCUGCUGGUAUUGAUGGAUAGUGUAGGUCUCACUCUGCUGGUAAUGAUGGCUGGUAUAGGUCACACUCUGCUGGUAUUGAUGGAUGGUAUAGGUCUCACACUGCUGGUAAUGAUGGAUGGUAUAGGUCACACUCUGCUGGUAUAGGUCUCACUCUCUGCUGGUAUUGAUGGCUGGUAUAGGUCUCACUGUCUGCUGGUAUUGACCGAUGGUAUAGGUCUCACACACUGCUGGUAUUGACGGAUGGUAUAGGUCUCACUGUCUGCUGGUAUUGAUGGAUGGUAUAGGUCUCACACUCUGCUGGUAUUGACGGAUGGUAUAGGUCUCACUGUCUGCUGGUAUUUAUGGAUGGUAUAGGUCUCACACUGCUGGUAUUGAUGGCUGGUAUAGGUCUCACACUGCUGGUAUUGAUGGCUGGUAUAGGUCUCACUCUGCUGGUAUUGAUGGCUGGUAUAGGUCACACACUCUGCUGGUAUUGAUGGAUGGUAUAGGUCUCACACUCUGCUGGUAUUGAUGGCUGGUACAGGUCUCACACUCUGCUGGUAUUGAUGGAUGGUACAGGUCUCACUCUGCUGGUAUUGAUGGAUGGUAUAGGUCUCACACUCUGCUGGUAUUGA